RNAcentral lists this unclassified non-coding RNA (250 nucleotides) under Hevea brasiliensis (rubber tree). Lineage: Eukaryota; Viridiplantae; Streptophyta; Magnoliopsida; Malpighiales; Euphorbiaceae. The record is from RNAcentral.
GGAAGUUCUCAAUGCAAUCUGAAAAGGCAAUUCUGUUUCUCCCGCCUCUCAUGAGUCCGUAUUUAUUCAGUUUGUUCAGGUAUUGAGUAACGCUUUUAGCCUCUCCUAUUGUGACUGAGACCCCAGCCCGAGCCCACUUGCCAGGACUUCUCCCAGCUGUUCGUGAAAAUGAAGAUAGUGAGUGGACACAGAGGUCUUGAUACUUAGUCACACUACAUGCAUCUCCAACAUAACUGUCCCUACUAUUGGA